CCUGGUUAAACUAGUAAUGGAUUUGGCCCCACAUCUCGGUGAAAUAGGACUAGGAAUAAGCCAUUGCACCAUUCACCCUGCUUUCAUUUUAAAAAAAACCCUUGGAUGUCAACAUUUUUAGAAGAGGCCUGGUCUGUGGCUAGGACUGGUUUCCAGCAACUCCCGACUUCCACUGCAGAGGAAGGCCAGUCACACAAACACCCUGCCUCAGUUUCCCCAAGUGAAGUGAAACCUUUCCAAGCGUGUGGGGUUCAUGACGGGACAGUCGUGAGAGCCGUAAAACAACUCUGGGAAUGCCAUACAGGUCGCAAAUAAAGUGAGCUGCCUCAUCCCAGCAAGAGUUCUGAUGCAAUGCAGGAGAGCCUGGCAAAUGAUUGCAAAUGAGCAGCAUAUGACUGCAAACACCACAGGACAGCCCUCGAGUCCUUACAAAGCAAAAAUAAACCUGAUCAGCAGCCACCAGCCACGGGAGCAAAGGAAAAAAUAACUCUGCUUUGGAAUCUGUUUGUCUAACGGCUCCCCCAGAACCCGCCUUUGCCCAUCACUGCAUGUACAAAGUGUCCUGCAGCAGGAACAGCCAGAGCGUGUGCUCAGCUGCACAUCGCCGGGAAGC
Long non-coding RNA from Mauremys reevesii (Reeves's turtle), 613 nucleotides. RefSeq lists it as uncharacterized. The record is from RefSeq and is a predicted model, not a curated record. The transcript is spliced from 4 exons. NCBI's taxonomy places the organism in Eukaryota, Metazoa, Chordata, Testudines, Geoemydidae.